GUCUGUGUCUGAAUGUAUGUGUCAUUCUGAAUUUGUUUGUUUGGACCUAUUUAGGCAUGACUGCGUGGUGCCAUUAGCUUAAACAUAUGAGAUUCUAUCAGUUUGUCAGAAUACACAUGUAAGCCUGUAUCAACAUGCUCAUAACGAGUAAAUGCAAACGAAAGUAAAGAUAAGCGAGUUUCAAUAUUCAUUCAUCAACAAGUAUCAAUUUACCGUUUGUAUAAGUGACUCACCCUGUAUUAGUGUGUUUAAUGUCUGGCUACGCCAAUAUUUUUUUGUCUUAAUGUUGUGCGGGCCUGUACGACCGUAAAUGUGUCACUUAUUCACAAAAUAUAAAUUUAUAUUCAAAAAAG
Molecule: non-coding RNA, 353 nt
Organism: Pelobates cultripes (western spadefoot toad)
Lineage: Eukaryota; Metazoa; Chordata; Amphibia; Anura; Pelobatidae
Source: the annotation of a GenBank genome assembly